Molecule: long non-coding RNA, 34401 nt
Filed under: Brassica rapa (field mustard)
Lineage: Eukaryota; Viridiplantae; Streptophyta; Magnoliopsida; Brassicales; Brassicaceae
Description: long non-coding RNA (BRAP_LNC007483)
Source: RNAcentral
UAUAUGAAUAGUGGCGAAAUCGAUCUCAGGAAUUUGGUUAUUUGAGAUGAAAUCUGUACCGGUUAAGACCGCGCCGCCGGGAUUGUAAACAGUUCUUUCUGGUUUAGAUUCUCCAUAGAAUCCUUCCAGUCCUAUUUCGAGUAGAUGGUUUGAGUCUAUGGACUUCACAUAACCUGCCAUUUCCUUCACCCAGUUCUACACACGAAAACGACAUCGUUUAGGUGAAUAUACACGUACAUGUUACGUAACGUAGAAGGGAGAGAGAAAAACCUGUAGGAUGGUAGAACCACUGGAAUCGUUACAGCGAGGUUCGUUGAUGAGCUCCCAUGAAAAGAUGGUUGGGUCUUCUUUGUAAGCACGACCAGUGAUUGUGUUUUUCCUCGUCAGCACGGUCUGUUUCAUGUUUUGUCAAAUCGUAUGUUUAGUUCGGUUGAAGUCGGCAACGAAUAUUACAAACAUUCCAAUCCAUAUUUGAUUGGUGCAUUUGUUGUAUUACUGAUUCUUUAAUUGAUUUUAAUCUUAACAUUUGACAUGUCAAAACCAUCGGUUAUCUCGUCUUAACGUGUACCCUACCCAAGAACCUAAACUAUUUGUCUUUAGCGUUGCGUGUCACAGAUGAUCAUCUUGAUUUAAAUAAACUGAUAGUUAUCCAAUCAGUAUAUGCAAUUAAAUUUUACAUUAUAUCUUGUUAAAUAUAUACUACUAACCUUCACGUGGUUCUUGUAAAACUGCUUGACAACCGAGUUUGUGUAGAACUCAUCCGGUUCAUCUAAACCGGCCCAUUCCACAUAUUUCUUUCUCCCUCCAAAAUCUUCGAAAUUAUUGACUAAACUAAUUAUCAACUUAAUAUUAUAUCUUCCAGCUUCAUAGACUACAAAGUCUAGUCCCUGCCCAGAGCAAAUGUUAUAUUAGUACUCUCAAAGCGAAAUUAUAAUUAGUUGUCAGUCUUUGAUUAAUCAACUAAGGUAUAUUCCUGAAUUAGUCAACAAACAGGUAUCUUGUACCAACUUACAUAAAAAUAUAAUUUACAAAAAUUAAAGAACUAUAUAUCUUUUGUCAUUUCGGCAUUAUCAACUUUGUAUUACCGUGUGAUAAGGACACGACAAUUGUUUUCCAAGCAAAUACAAAAGGUUUGAAUUUCUUUUGUCGGAAAGUAUUAUUUUGAAAUUUGAAUCCUUCAAUUUAGAUCAACAAACAAGAAAUAAACUACAAAGAAACACCUAUCAAUCUUGAUUUAUAUUCCGUCUUAUAAAAAUAAUUCAAAUAUGUGAUAUAAAAUUACGAAUUUAUUAAAAUAGUAACUAACAAUGAGAUCAUGAUUUAGAAUAUAAAAAUAACAAUCUAUAAAAUAACAAAAUUGUUAGAUCCUAUAAACUUGCACAGGUGAUAAAAAAUAUGAAACUUAAAAAAAACUUACGUCAUUUAAUUUGGCAACUAUCUAUCGACGUUUCUAAAUAUAAAUUAUGCGUGUUUGUGUAUAUGCCUAUAUAUGUAUAUGCUUGAUGAGGGUUACCUUGAAAACGUCUUCACUAUAGGAGCCAGGAGAGAUCUGAAGAGGAAGGUAAUCUCCUUCGUUGAAACCCCAAAUCCUGGCAACGUUCAUUCCAACGGUGGAGGCUUGCCGGAGCGCCGUCGUGACGGUGGUUCUUCCUUUAGACGCAGUAUCAGCAGCAGUGGUCAUCAUCCAAUAAGCGUUGAAGCCGUUUAGGUAAACUCGUUCUCCGUUCAACACGAACUGCGUGCCGUUUCUCCCGACGAACCCUGCCUUUUCGGCGACGCUAAUGCGGUAGUUGCCGACGAGAAACAGAAGAAGGAAAAGGAAAAACGGUACGGUGUUUAACAUUGUGAAGCUUUUGCCGACUUGAUAGAAUAAAUUGACACAGCAUGAAACUGAAAGACAUUUGUAUGCGUUUGUGUUAUAUAUAUACAUUACAGGUGUCUUAGUGUUUACGUAUUUGAAAUUUUUUAUUUUGUCCCCAUAUUGCCUAAUUAUUUGAAAAUAUAUGGUACACGUUAGGAUUUUUGAACGCGUUAAAUAUUAUUUUUCAAGGUUCAACAAAAUCAGUUUGCUGGACUUGUGUAUUUUUGGGUUAAGGAAACUAUUACUUUCAAGACUAAAUGAAUAUAUCCAAAGAAGAAAUAUAUAUAGAAGUUUCUUUUUGGUCGACGUAAUAGACUUUUUUCUAUCUUUGGUUAAAAAGCGUACUAUCUUCAUUUUCCAUUAAACGAUGCCAGUUAGGGGUGGGCAUAAGCCGAAUAUUUGGUAUUUUCGGUAUAUUUAGUACUCGGCUUGGCUUGUACGAGUAUUAAAAUUUUGAGCUUAUAUUUGAUUUAUUAAAAACGAAUACUUAUAGUUUCAAGUAAUUGCGAAAAAUUGAUGGAUUUGAUAGUUACUUGCCUUGUUUUAUUACUUGCUACUUGUAAAUUAUUUACAAAUUAUUUGAUAAUUAUUGGUAAAUUAUUUGAUAAUUAGUUGAAAUUUAAAAGUAAAUUAAUUUAUUAUAUAUAAAUAAUAUGUCUUUUUUUUAUUUUGUCAUUGUUUUUCCUGUUUUUAGUCAUUCGUAAAUAGAUUAAAUUAAAAAAGAAAAAUUCCAAAAUUCUUAUAUAAAUAUAUCAUUUAUGUUAGAUUCACUUAUAAAAAUUGAAAUAUAAACGAGUUGUUUUACUAUAAUUUAGGAAAAUGUAUCUUUGUGCAACUAAAAAAUAAAUAAUAAACUAAAUAAUUAUUUUUAUUUUAUGAUUUUGUAUUUGUAUGAAUUCGUAAGUAGUUUAAAUAGACUACUUGAUAUACAUCUUGGUCAAAACAAAUAUUCGACUUUAAAGAUCAAGUACCAACCAACCAAGUAGUGAACAUAGGCAAAUAAAAAGUAACUAGAUUUUGAUCCACGCUUAAAAGCGCGGAUUAUUUUUUGGUUGAUAAAAAUAUUUGAUAUGAAUUAGUAUUUUUGUUUUUUGUACAUUAUUAUGUUACAAAGUCAUAUUUUAUCAAAAGAUAAUUUUUUUUUAAUUUGGUUAUUUAAUGUAAUUAUAUUUUCAAUUGCUUUUAUUAAUUAUUUUUUAAAAUUUUAUAUGGUGUGAUCAAACUCAGCAUGCCUAUUAUUUUAAAUUAGAUAAGAAAAAAAAUUAUAUUAAGUUCAGACCCGCGGUCAAACCGCUAAACAAUGACUUGUACAUAAGCUGGUUGGGAUUUAAGGAAAACUCGUUAAUUUAAAGCAUGCAAACUUCAAAAAACUCGCAAUCAAGUGUGAUAUGUGCUUAUAAACAAAAAAACUCGUUAAUUUAAGCCGGUAAACCAAUUUUUGAAUUGCAUAUAGUGAAACUAACAAUAAACUCAAUAAUAGUUUUAUUUAAAUUUUAUCGUCAAUUUUCAUUGAACAUAAUUCGUUUUACAUGAUAUUAAUUUGUAGCUGGUAAAAAGUUGAUGAACACAAAUUUAUUGAUGAAAUAUUUGUAUGCAUGUAUGGUAAUAGUGUAGUUUGAAGGCAUUUAAUUUUGACUUCUAAAUUUAAAAAAAAAAUGUAUGGAGUAAUAGAUAUCCAAAUAUAUGUAAAGAUAAUAAAUGAUGAAAUGCAUUUAUAUAAGAACUAAUAGUUGAAGGGUUUAGCAAAUAAUAAAAUAUAUGUAAAGAUAAUAAAUGAUGAAAUGCAUAUAUAUAGGAACUAAUUGUUGGAAGGCUUAGCAAAUAAUAAGGGAACCUAAUAACAAAUUUUGUAAAUAUAUGUUUAAGUUUCUAAUGAAUAUGUCCAACAAACUUUUGUAAGUAGAUUUUUUAUGACUCCUUCCCUUUUAAUAGUAUUGAUUGUAGCCACUCAUAAAAUACUUAAAUUUUAAUUAACUAAUGAAAUAUAUACUAAGUAUUUAAUAAACCAAAUAAUAUAUAACAAAUAACUGAAUAAGUAAACGAUAACAAGUAAUAAAUCAAGUAAUAAACGAAGUAACAAACCAAGUAGCUAAAAAAUAAAAUGAACUUGAUACUUGACUUGUACUUGCAAGUAAUAAAAUCCUCUUACUUGUUACUGGAUUUGAUUGGAGUAAGUACUUGUUUUUUCAUAUCUAACCGAGUCAAGUAGCGAGUACAAACCGAAUAUCAAGCAUUUGUGUCCAGUUCUAAUGUCAGUUACUCCUAUUAAUUAUAUAUUCAACUUUUUUUGAGGAAAUAAUUUUAAUCUUUAAUAUUUUACUAUUUUAUAAAGUGAAAGUAAAAGAAAAUUAUCUCGCGAGUAAUAUCUCUCUCGAAUGAGUCAUAUAUACGUUUUUGGUUAAGAAGUCAUUAUAGAUUAGUCCAUAUUUAUUGCAGGAAAUGUAUAUUUCAGUUUUAUAACAUCGAUAUGAUAUAUAGUUGAAUAAGAUGAUACGAAACGACCACACUCAUUAUUUGCUUUUGAAUAUAAGCAUGACACGCGUGUGGAAUGGAGCUAUCACACUUAAGCUACUACAUGUGAGAUUAAUUUUCUCCUUAAUUAUGUCAGUGACUCAAUUAUGUAAGAUGGAUUAUUAAAUUUAAAUUUCCAACAGAAAUAAUGAUUGACAUACGGAAACUUCAUAUAUGUUUUGUGAGUCCAAACUUCACACUAAUAAAACUUAUACAUAGGUUUGUAUCUAUACUAUUAUUUGCGAAAUAAAUUUUUGCAAUGGAACUCUCACGUUGAAAGUUAAAGUGGUUAAUAUCAUUUAUACCCUUAAUGUAUAAAAUGUAUAAAUAAAUUAAAAAAUAAAAACGAAAUUUUAAUUGAUUUUGAUUAGAUAAUUGAUAAAUAUUAAGAAUAGUAAGAAUUAUCCAAAAUCUGAAAAUAUAAUUUAAAAAAGAGAUAACUUCUGUAUAUAUUGUAUUGUUAUCUGAAAAAGUCUUUAAGUAAAAAAUUAAAAAUAUAAAUUCUAUAACUAAAUAUUAAUUAAAUAAAAUUAUUAAAUAUAUAAUUAAAAAUAGAAUAUUAAAUUAUCCAAAAUCUAAAAAUAUAAUUAAAAAUAUAAUUUCUAUAUACAUUUUGUAUUGUUAUCUGAAAAAGUAUUUUAGUAAAACGUUAAAAACAUAAAUUAUAUAAUUAAAUAUCAAUCAAAAACUUUUUUUUAAUUAUAUAAUUAAAAACUUUUAUUUGCGAAGUAAAUUUUUGCAAUGGAGUUCUCACGUUGAAAGUUAGAUUGGUUAAUAUCGUUUAACCCUUAAUGAAUAAAAUGUAUAAAUAAAUUAAAAAAUAAAAACGAAAUUUUAAUUGAUUUUGAUUAGAUAAUUGAUUAAUAUUAAGAAUAGUAAGAAUUAUCUACAAUCUGAAAAUAUAAUUUAAAAAAGAGAUAGCUUCUGUAUAUAUUGUACUGUUAUCUGAAAAAGUCUUUAAGUAAAAAAUUAAAAACAUAAAUUCUAUAACUAAAUAUUAAUUAAAUAAAAUUAUUAAUGAUAUAAUUAAAAAUAGAAUAUUGAAUUAUCCAAAAUCUAAAAAUUAUAAUUAAAAAAGAUAAUUUCUAUAUGUAUAUUGUAUUGUUAUCUAAAAAAGUAUUUUAAUAAAACAUUAAAAACAUAAAUUAUAUAAUGUCCUCCAGCAUUUCAGGUUUGGGCUAUCUCCAAUAUACCAUCAAAUCCAACCAUGUUCCCAACGACCUCUCUGUUCACAAAUAUGGAUCACCUCUUCUGGAGAGUCUCUCCACCGAUGGAGGAUCAUCAAUUUGCAUGGAUUCUUUGGUAUAUUUGGAAAGGAAGAAACAAUAAAGUUUUUAGCAAUUUGGACAUGGAACCAAUAGACACCUUCAAAUUGGCCGAAACAGAGUCAAGACUUUGGGCUGAUGCACAGGUAUUGACCGAGACCAGGAUAGCGUCCCAAGUUAAGGUUACGACUCCCCCAUCAAUUCUAGGGAGAUGGUGUUUUACAGAUGGAUCCUGGAAAGAGAAUGAUGCUUUCUCUGGACAAGGUUGGCUGAGUGCUCUAGAAGGUUUUAAUGGGUUGUUAGGAGCAAGGAAUGUUCGAGCUUCUCUAUCCCCUUUACAUGCAGAGAUGGAAGCACUAAUUUGGGCAAUGGAAUGCAUGAAAAACUUACGGUAAUUUCAAGUUACAUUUGCAACGGAUUGUUCUCAGUUGGUGAAGAUGGUUUCGGAACCAGAAGAAUGACCAGCAUUUGCAAGCUAUUUGGAAGAUAUUAAAUCCCUGAAAAAAGUUUUCACACGUUCGGAGAUUAUCUAUGUACCAAGGACGCAAAAUUCAAGAGCGGAUAGCCUAGCACGCAGUGUCAGAAAGCAACCGUCGUUUAUCGUUCACAUGGAUCAAGAUCUACCGGAGUGGUUCACAGAGUCAAUAUGAGUUUGUAUUUGAUGACAAAAAAAAAGUCAAACGUUAAAAACAUAAAUUAUAUAAUUAAAUAUUAAUCAAAUAUUUUUUAAUUAUAUAAUUAAAAAUAUAAUAUUGAUUAAUUUUAAGAUUUAUUUUAGUAAUGAAUCUAUAUAUAUAUAAAAAUAUGUUUGCCUCUCUCCUAAGCUAUCCACGUGGAAAAUCACUCUUUGACAUGCUGACACGUGUCUCUGGGUUUUAUUUCUUUGGGUGGACUUGAGUUUAACUUUGGGUUGACAUGGCUUUUUACUCUUUUAUAUUAUUGAAUGUGUUAAUUAUUUUUUAAUACAUAGUAGAUAAAACAAAAAAACACACAUUACGAUAUGGACGUUAUAUUAUCAUCAAAGUAAUUUUUACGAUAUGUACCUCAUCAUGUGAUAAUUUAUAAAGUAGCAACGAAUCUAUGAGUUCAGCAAAUUUGCAGUUACCUAGUUCAGAAUUUUAAGUAUAUAAACAAUCAACAGUAGUGUGUUGAAUAUUAUAUUCAUAUGAUUUAAAAGCUUUUACAAAUUUUUAUUUUUAAACAUACACCGAAAACUUCAUAAAAGUAAUAUCCAUUCAGGUUCUCAACCACUUCAAAUACCACCAAUGCCAAAACAUUUAAUCAAGUGCACGAAAACUAUAAUAUAUUUAAAACUACAAUAAAUAUAUAAGUUAAUGAAAAAUCCUUUUUAAAAAAUAUUACGGAUGCAUAUAUAAAUAUUAAGAGAAAUGUAUAAAAGGAAAUAAAAGUAACAAUAACUUGAAGAACAAAAUGUAUAAGACUAAGAAUAUUUAUGAUUUGUGGUCUAAGAUAUAUUCAACUUAUUGUCACAAAAAACUUAAUAAAAAAAUACAUACUUUGUUUUAAGAACAUUAAAAAUUACGUUAAAAUUUUUAACAUUUUAAGAAAUAUUAUGAAUCAAUAAUAUUAAUAUAAAAUUUUAUCUAAAAAAUUCAGCACUAAAUGCAUAAACAAAAAACAAACAAACCCUAAACCCUAUAAUCCUAAGCAUUAUUCUAAACCAAACCCUAAACCCAACCUAAACCAAACGCUAAACCUUUUCUACUACAUAAAUCCUAAAUCCUACCUAACCCUAAACCCUACCUAAACCUAGACCUUAACCCUAUUGAUAUUACAUGUAUACACACACCAAUUAACCUAAUGUGCACACUACCACAAUCGAAUGGUAUGUCGAUGUAUCACUUUAGGAUCGAAUCCACAGAGACCAACGAUUACACUUUAUCUUUAUGAGAUCAAUACUUAGCUAAAACAAUGAUGGGGUUUUCAUAUUAAGGUUUCGUAACAAGCAAGUAAUAAUAAGAUUAAAUUAAAGAUUUCAGAUGAUUAAAAUGCUUGUCUAGGGUGGUUUGGUCGGGUGUUAAGCAAGUGUGAGCCAAACAAUUGUUCAAGUUUAAUUAAGAGCAAGUCUAGAACUUGGAUCACUCAAGUAGAACAGCCCACUGUCGUGGAACUGCCCCCUAUGCUGAUCGAUCUUGAUACCUAAACUCUCGUUUGGAUCAAGAUGCGACAGCAAGCAAUAUAGAUCAAGUCUUAUAUGUUCACAAAACACCCUAAUAUUUACUUUCGCUGAUUAGGGAUGCAAUGCUCAUUCAAGUUAUGUUUAGCAACCAAUAACACUUUUGGUAAAUAGAUUAAACCUAGAAUCAGGCACUAAGUGGUUAACUUGAUGCAAACCUUAAGAACAACAGUGAAUGAAGACAAUCGAUUUAUAACUUAUUUAUGUCAAGCUCACGGAUCUAACACCCUAACACCCUAGACUAAGCAAGCUGACUACUCAGCCAUGGAGCAAGAAAACACAGAGACAGAGAUAUAAAGGAACAUGAAAUAUGACUGAAAUAAAGUAAUAGGGUUCAGGGGGUUCUUCUCUAAAUCGAGAGAGAUGGCCUUCUCCCUUUACAAAUUAGCAAAAUCUCAAGCCUCCAACUCUAAGGUCUGGUUUCUUCUCAAAAAAUAGCGUAGAAUGUUAGAGAAAAACAGAAAAAAAGAUAUAUCAAAGCCACAGGCGGCUGGAGAAAAAGAUAAAGAGAUUAGGGCAAAUCCCGAAAUAGGUUGUAGUUUCCUUAAAAAAUUUUGCCGCUGGAGCAGGCACUCGGAAACGUCACUCGGGUUGCUCUGCUAUCCGGAACAGUCAUCAAGACUGUUCUGCGUGAAAAUCAUCAAAUUGCACUGUUUUCUCCCUUUUUUGUUCCAGCUGGUCCAUCUUCCAUCCAAUGCAACUCCAGACAUGUAAUGACUCGAAAAGGACUAGGAAGACUCGAUAAAGACUUGAAAACCAAUUGAAAAGCAUAUAUACAAGAUGUAUAAAAUACCAUAUAUCACCUAUCUAACCCUAAACCCAUCAUAAACCUAACCCUGAUCCCUAAACCCGUCCUACUACCUAAACCCUAAACCUACCUAACCCUAAACGUAAACCCUACCUAACCCUAAACCCUAUUUAAUCCUAAACCCUACCCAAACCUAAACCCUACCAAACCCUAAAACCUAACCGUAACCCUAAACCCUACCUAACCAUAAAUCCUACCUAACCCUAACCCUACAUAACCCUAAACCCUACUAACCCUACCUAACCUAAACCCUACCUAACCUAAAAUCAUUCUAACCCUAAACCCUUUUUAGCCCUAAACCCUAGCUAACCCUAAACCCUACUAACCUUAAACCCUACCUAACCCUAAACCCUAUUUAACCCUAAACUCUACCUAACCCUAAACCCUACCUAACCCUAAACCCUACCUAACCCUAAAUCCUACCUAACCCUAACCCUACAUAACACUAAACCCUAGUAACCCUACCUAACCUAAACCCUACCUAACCUAAAACUUUUCUAACACUGAACUCUUUCUAGCCCUAAACCCUACCUAACCCUAAACCCUACUAACCCUAAACCCUACUAACCUUAAACCCUACUAACCCUAAACCCUUUCUAACCCUAAACCCUACUAACCUUAAACCCUACUAACCCUAAACUCUUUCUAACCCUAAGCCCUACCUAACCCUAAACCCUACCUACUUCUAAACCCUACCGAACCCUAAACCCUACCAACCCUAAACCCUUUCUAACCCUAAACCCUACCUAACCUAAACCCUAAAACUGACCUAACCCUAAACCCUGCCUAAUUUUAAACCUUACCUAAUUCUAAACCCUACUAAUCCUAAACCCUACUAACCCUAAACCCUACUAACCCUACCUAACCCUAAACCCUACCUAACCCUAAACCCUACUAACCCUAAACCCUAUCUAACCCUAAACCCUACCUUCUAAACCAUACCUAACCCUAAACCCUACCUAACCUUACCCUACCUACCCUAAAACCUUUUUAACCCUAAACCCUACCUAACCCUAAACCCUUCCUAACCCAAAACCCUGCCUAACCGUAAAAACCCUACCUAACCCUAAACCCUUUCUAACCCUAAACCCUACCUAACACACUAAACCCUGCUAACCCUAAACCCUGCCUAAACCUAACUCUAAAACCCUACCUUAACCUAACCAUAAAUCCCAUCUAACCCUAAAACUCUACCAACCCUAAGCACUAAAAAAUAAUCUCAAAACUUAAAGCUAAAAAAACCUAAACUCUACCGCUAUAUAAUUUGUUGUUGUAAUAUUCAAAUAACAAAUUCUGUAGCAGAUUUUAAAUCUUACAUCUAUUAUUUUAAUUGCCAAAAUAUUUUGAAAAUUGUAUCUUAUGAAUAAAAAAGAUAAAUUAUAUUUUAAUAAUGUUAAACUUUGUUAAAAUAGAAUGAAAAACUAUUAUCAUAAAUAAAUAAAGAAUUUUGAUGAAAUUUGAAAAUCUUCGAAUCAAUAACAAUUAAUUAGUAAUAUUUCAAAAACCCUUAUACUAUUGUAGCAGUAGAAUCUCAAAAAAAAAAAAAAUUAAAGUUCUCAAACAUUUAUUUGCCAAUAACCAUCCUUAAAUCUUUGCUCAUUCAAAAAAAUAAUAUUCUUUACAUAAAUUGGAAACAAUUUUGUUUUUUGACUAGAGACCCAAGUUUAAAUUAUACCACUAAAAUAUUUUAAUAUUUAAUUGUUCAGAAAUAACAAGUUAAUGUUCUUAAAACAAUAACUAUUCUUAAAUCUUUGCUCAUUCAAAAAAAUAAUAUUCUUUACAUAAAUUGGAAACAAGUUUUGUUUUUUGACUAGAGAUCCAAGUUUAAAUAAUGGGCAAUUGUCAAUAAUAGCACCUUUUGAAGUUUAUGUCUCAAAAAUAGCACUAGAACGAAAAAGUCACAAAAAUGACAUUCAUUAAAGGUUAAAAUAUCCCUAAUACCCUUGGUUUAAAAUUAAAUAAACAAACAAAAAUAAAUAAAAAUAAAUAAAAUAAAAAAAAAAUUUAUAGUUUCAGAUUACAUGUUUUCAGAUUCGAAAUUUUUAUAAUUUUUUUUUUUUUAAUUUUUUUUUUAUAAUUUAAAAAUACUUUUUGAAACUGAUUUUUAAAUUUUUAUUUUUAUUUUAGUAUUUAUUUUUUAUAAAAUUUUAAACCCUAAUUCCAAAACCCCACCCCUUAACUCUAAACCCUAAGGUUUGAAUUAAUUAACCCAAGGGGUAUAAGUGUAUAUUGACCUCUUUAAUGAAACCUAUUUUUGUGACUUUGAGCCUUGAGUGCUACUUUGGGAACAAAAACUUGGUUUAGUGCUAUUCUAGUCUUUUUCUCUUAAAUAAUACCACUAAAAUAUUUAAUAUUUAAUUGUUCAGAAAUAUAUAUAUAUAUAUUUACAUAUUCGAGAGUAGACAAUACAUAGAUGAUACUAAAUUGAUCGCAAUAAUUCUUUUUGGAAAACACAAUAUAACUAGUAUAGUAUAUAAAGAACUUUUCAAAAAUUUAUGAAAAUACUUAAGCCCGCAUCGCGGAUAAAACACCUAGUAUCUAACCUAUACUAAAAGGAGAAUAUACUCUACAGAGAAUGAUGCCACGUCCUCUUAAAAAAGCAACCAAUAAAAACAUUUAAAUUCGCCACGUCAUAGAGAAACAUGUAUUUUAUUGGGCUGUGUUUACAUUUUUAAAACAGCCCAUAUUGCCUUUCAUUUCUGACACCUAAAGUUUCAUUUUCCCCUGACUCUUCCUCUUCCUCUUUGCGGUCACGAUCAAAUUUUCAUCAAUAUAUUGAUUAUGCUCUUUAAUCCUGCUUCAAUGGUUUCGUUCUAUCUCCCUCUCUUUCUCCUGCUAUAUAAAGCGUUCCAUCUCAUCUUCAUUCCAACCAUAAUCGGAACUCUGCAAACAUUUUAUUUUACUUGAUGAUAAGUGAAAGAACAGCUUCAAAGCGAGAGAGACCUUCCUGAGUCGACUCGGACCGAGUUGGCUUUUCUUUCUUACUCUCCUCAACUGUAUUCGUUAUCGCGUUCUCUCCCUCUCUGUUGCGUAAUUUUCGUUUGGUGAGUCUCUUCUCUUGCUCUUCGUUGUUAUGCGAUUUGAUUUCUAGGUCUUAAAGAUUUCAAUUAGUUUAUAUGCCAUUUCAAGUUCGAUCCUUUUUCUCUUUUUGAUUCAUUAACAAGAGCAAACAUGCAUGAUUAAUAGCAUUAAUCUCGGAUGAUUGUUAGAUUGUUUUUGUAUAAACACUAAAACAAUGAAUGCUUCGUAAAGAAAUAUUAAUGCUUUGUAACCAACAUUUGUUUCCGUUACUUUUUAUUUUCUUAGUUUUAGAUGAUUCUCUAUUAGUUAAUUGCAUAAAGUUUUGAUUUUUGUGUGUUUAUCACUCACGCUUGAUUUAAUCUCUUUAUUUUUCAGAUUGUUGUUAAGUUCAUGUUAUCUAGACUUUAACUAUGGAAGCGCGUCUUGUGGUCUACCUUAUCGUUUAGUUCAAGAAAUUUGGUUUCUUGGUCUUGGAUUUUGAAGCCAUCAGAGGCUGUGACUUCUCUGGUUUUGAUCUCCACAUUCAUGUCAUGUAAGCCCGACAGUCCUGUUCAGACACAAAUGGCAGUUUCGCUUCUAAAGAGCCCCUUGACCGGGGAGUUCCACGAGUUCAACAAGAUUGGGAUGAAGUCUUCUCUCCUUCUUAUUAUUUCAAAAUAAAUAAAUAUACCUAUUAUGUUUCCCAUAGCGCAUCUAGAAGCAAUGUUAACCGUGACAAAAAAAAACAAAAAUUGAUCCAACUUCUCUUGGUAUAUUGUUAACUGUUUCAUUUGAGUAAAGUUCAAUUAAGUUUCAAGUUUUGUGUUAGGUGUAGCGACAGAAUAUGAUUUCGGGUAUUAAAACUGUCCUCAAAGUAUGUUGAAAUCCACCCUUACGCUACACAAAAAAAAGUUAAGGGGUUACAUGAUGGCUUAUAAAGUUCUUUAUAUUUUAGCAAUAUUUCUACAGAUUGAGAAGAGAUAAGAUCAUGAAAUGGUUCUCAAGAUUUGUGUACAAAGGGAUUAAUUUUGUUUCCUUAUCGUUCUUUCAGAGGUGAACUUUAAGUCAAGAAGAUAAAUCUAUCAAAGAUAUCAAAUUUCUUGACACUAAAGAAAUAUUAUGUGCUGACUCCACAACAAACAUGGAGUCAUUCAUUCGUAUUUGACUCCACUUAGUUGCAUGUUUAAUUUUAUCCCUUUUUCUUUACCAGGAGCAUUUAGAACACAUAAGAUCCAAUGUUACAUAUGGAAAAUAAGGAACGUUUCCGUUAACAGAUCAAGGUAUUAUUUCACCUGCAUAGCUGCUAAAACUAACAUUUUCCUGCUUUCUAACCCAAAAGAUUAUUAGUCCUAUUAUAUCUGAUGUUUAAUUCAUAUGCCCAGAUACAAUGGUCCUUUCAAUUGCAGAUGAUUUCAGAAACAAGUGUUACAAGAUACCAGGACCUCUUCCUCAAUGCCAUCACCAAAGCAAUGUAAUGGCACAUUUGCAGCAUCCAAAUUUGGUGUCGAUGAAACUAUGUCUGCUUUGGUGUCAAUGAAACUAUGUCCUUUCAACUUUUUUUUUUCAAUUCGAGUACAAUUAAAGAAUAUUUUAUUCUGGAAAAGUAAAGGAUCUAUGUAUUUUAGAUGUGUGUAUACUUAAAAGUGAUAUAGAGCUCAAAGUUAACAAUGUGUGGAAGUUUCAAUUAAACAAAUUUUUGUCUAAAUAGCGAAGAGAAGAGUACAAAAAGAAUACAAAAUAACAAGCCACCACAAAUAACCAGGAAACUUUAGUAGAUUAACAUUUAAGUUUGAUUUCGUUUGUCAAAACAUGUUUAGUGGGAAUUAGUUUAGAUGGUUUGUGGAAACUCAGAGAUACAAUAAUUCUAAUUGUGUUUGUCUUAUAAGAAAAGUAUAUUUACCUUGCUUCGAAGGUCCUGCAACACAUCUGAAGUAGUGAAUUACCAACACCUGGAACUUUAUAUUUUUUAUGAAUAUUAGAAUAAAUCUUUGUUUUUUCUAACACAUUACAACAUGUCUAUAAUGGCUAUACAUUGAUAUUAAUGGUUCCAGAGAAAAAGAAAACAUAUAGUUAACUCACCCUCAUGUCAUCUAAAUCGUAUAAAUAACAUACAUUAUAAUUUCAAAAGAAAAAGUUACAGAAAAAAUUAAACACACAUUGCAAAUAGGGAAAGCUCACUCUACAAUCUCUUUAAAAAACUAAAUUCAUUUCUUUUUGGUUAUUUGGCAAAUAAACCCUUGCAAAUAUGACCAAAAAAAAAUUCACAUCAAAACUAGGUGUAGUUUAACAUGGAACAAAGAAAACCAAAUAAGCAAAAAUAUGUCUUUUAUUUAAUUUCUUAGUAGUACUUUUUAUUCAAAUAUAGAAAAAUAUAUUAAGAUAACAGAAUUUUGAUCAGAUCACAAUGAUCCAAAUAACCGAAUACUAUUUUAAGUAAAUAGAUAAAUAUGCCAAGUUAUAUAUUUUAAAAUUACAAUUAACACAUUGGUUAAAUUUAAGACAAAAACAAUUGAAUUCGAUACAAUAAAUACAGAAACUAACCAAUUGAAAAAUAAAAGUAAAAGAGCAAUACAAAUAUUUGAACAACAAUGCAUGUGCUGACUUAUAAUAUAGCUAUAUUGUAGAUAAUGCAUAUAUUGUAGAUAAUGCAUGUAUGUUACUAUUAUCUUAACAUCCACAAGAUAUCAUUGAUCACUAACAACAAUGCAUGUGCUGACUUUCUUACACUCUUUUAAUUCCGGGAAAUUGGUUAAUUCAUUAGUAUGUUUUGCUUCCUUGACCUUGUGUUGGAGGGAGCUUUUAUAUAUUAUUCUAUGAUGUAAAGUUCAUAUUUUACUUAUGGUCCUUAUGUACCUUUUGAAGAAGCCUUUACCAUUUGUUUCAGAGCUUGAAUCUCAUGAAUUUGAAAUGGAAUUUUCAAUAGCCAGUGAGGAAGAUAAGAAAAUGGGACAUCAAAAAGACAGACGUGAAUCACGAUCGACAUUGAAAGUGUGAAGAGCAGGGCCAGAGAUAGAGACAUGAUGAAAAGGAUAGUGAAUGCGACCGCCACAAUGGGAGAAAUUGUUAUAGACACCUUAGCAGAGAACAUAGUGAGAAAAGGGAACGUGAGAGAGACUUUAUGGAUGAUAGUGAUCAUUACAAAAAUCGAGACCGUGACAGAUACUGAUAAUGUGUUGCAGUUAUUUUUUGGUUUAAGAUUGUUGCAUUCUUAAGUUGAUGGUAUCAUCAUUUAUCCAUAGGAAGAGGUCUUUCGAUCGAGAAAGAGAGGAGAGGCACAGGCCAGGGUCACGCUCUCGCUCGAGCAGCCGCUCUUAACGUAAGUCAAGGUCACAAGACUCACAACAUAUGGAUGAGUCUGAAAAUAGAUCACGUUCACUUUUACAGGUAGAAUAGUGGUGGACAGCAAGAUGGUUGGAGAUUGCAGGAGUCAUGUCUGCGCUAUCACCACAAUGCAUAAAACAUUAACUCUUGGAGCAUAGUUGUUACUGUUUGAGGAACUCAAGGUCAUGAAUAUGAGAGAAUCUGGUAAUGUUUUAGCCGAAAAGAAGAAAAAGCCUAAGGUGAUCUGAAACAGAACAAAUGAGUAUGCUUAUGUUUUGAAAUCUGCUAUAAAAACGAGUAUAGUUAGAAGCUUUGGCAGAUUCACUCUUUCUUCUCCUGUCUCUUAUUCAUUUUAUAACUUUUCUUGUGUGGAAACAUUUACUUUCUGUUCGCCUAAGGUUUGGUUUCGAAUAUAAUUCUGAUUUGUAUCAUAAUGGAAUAAUAUAAAACAUUUCAAAUUUGCAUAUUUGAAUAAAAUCACAGUGAAACUUAUGGCUUAGUUUUGUAAAAAUCUUGAAAUUCAAAAAUAAAUAUUCGUAGGGGAUGCUUAAAACAAAUAACUCUUCAAAUAGAACACACAUAUGAUUCCUAUAGACUCAUGAAACUGAUAUGCUGUGAAAACUUAGUUGCGCAUUUAGGAUUCUUGAGGUGAUCAAUUUUACUAAAAAUAACUUUACAGAUUAGAUUUCUUAAACUAAUCAAUUUUUGCCUUUUAAGUAUUGUUCGGAACUCAUAUUUUAACUAUAAAUAGGAAAAAAAGACGUAAAAGUGUACGAAUGGUGCUAUUAUUACAACAUAAACUUCAAUUUAAUAAAAUGGAAUUGGUCAAGUAAGCUGUACAAUGAAUAUAUGUUAACGUGUUUGAAUAUCCCAUAAUUAAAAUACGUUAGAGCUUCAUAUAGCAAAAGAGAGUUUCAGCAUUAACUCUCAGUAGUAUAUUUUAUACAGGAGAUGCCCAAGAUAGAAUCAUUUUAAAUAUAAAAAAAAUGUUGAACUGCUCAGGAAAAUUCCUUUUGGCUUAUAAGUAUGGAUAAACGAUCUGAAACAACCUACACAUAGCCAUACAUAAAAUUAAAUACUAAAUUGUCACAAUCUCAAAUGAUAAUAAGUUUUAUAUAAUGACAUAUUCAUAUGUAUCAUCAUAUAAUCUUACAUAUAUAAAAUAAAACCUCAAAGCAAAAAAUAAAAAAUAAAAUAAAACCAAAGAAAACAAUCACAAAGGAUAUGAAACAAGUAUAAAAAAAAUUGUCUCUAUUAUUUGUCCAAUACAUAACAUGAAUUUUCAUUUAAAAUACAUUUCAUUUUUUUCAAAUAAUUAAUAAAAUUGACAUAUACUAAUAGUAUUUUAUUGUUUACUGUGACGCACUACCAAAUCAUCAACGGCCUUGAACGCGUCGUGGAAGGUUCAACAGAAGCCAAACACAUUCAUAUGUGGUUGCGAUGGCGUUUAAGGUUGAAGGCCGGUUUUCUAAUAAUGUAUAAGGAGGUAUGGAGUUUGUGGAUUGGGCUUAAUAAUCCGACGUCCAGUAUUCAAGCCGACUCUGGUUUAUACAAACCGGUUUGCAAAACAGCAUCAGGAGUUUCCGUCUAAGAUCUCUAUAUCUAAUAGUACAAUACUUUCCAAUUUCCUUUGUAGUAUAAUAAUAAUAAUAACAUAUAUCAUAUCACUUAAUAGGAAAAUAAAAUGUUACUGUCUUCAAAUUUAGUUUUGAAAAGAAAAUUUUCGUUUAUCUCAUUUAUUUACAAUGUUAUACCAAAUAAGUUUGUACAAAGAUCAAUUUAGAUUGGAGCAUCACCAAUGAAUGCAAUUUUAGAAGUUUUUUUAAAAUUUUUUUAAAAAAAUUCUAUUUUGCUUUCCACUAUUCCAAAUUUUUUUAAUAAUUACCUUAAGAGUCUAAAAAAGUAAUAGAAGUAUUUUCUACUCUAACAUACACACAAUAUUGCAAGGUCAUAUAUUUUCUACGCAGUACAUCUUCAUAUGUAAAAUGCACAUAAUCUAUCAAAAGUAUUUUUAUGUAGUAUCUAAACAUGGAAUCGUUCAUAUGUAGUAUUCCAAAUUUUUAUAUAAAAAUAUUUAUUUACAAAAUAAUAAAUAACAAAUAAAUUUUAAUAUUAAGAUAAAUUACAGUUUCAAAAUUUAAAGAUUUAUUCAAUCAUUUUUAUAUGUCAUCAAACUUUACAUAUGAUGUAUAAAGCUAUAUAUGAUACAUAGAAAUAUUAAUAUAACAAUAUUAUUGUAUUUACUUAAAUUUAUGCUAACUAACGUAUUCUUAACCAAUUUCAGGCUAUUUCUUUCUUAUGAACCUCAACGCAACUUCUGGUCUACAAAAGACUUAAUCUGUUUCUUACAUUAUUUAUGUUUACUUGGCUAAUUGCAUAAACUCAAUAUUCACCAUUUUUCCAAACAUUUUGGAAAAUACAAUGCUUCUAUUCUAAACAAAAAACAUCGAAAUUUAUAAUCAAAAAUCGACUAUCAACACACUUUUCCGCGCAUCGCGCGGAGAGAGGACCUAGUAGAAAUAAAAUCGGUGCACCAUCCACAUUUUCAAAGUCUAAACAAAAUUGAUUCGGGAGGUACCAAAUACAAUAACCAAAUUCUUUUUUUUUAUGGGCCCAAUUUUUUAGACUUUUAAAAAUGUGGAUGGUGCACCGACUUUAUUUCUAUAUACAAUACUUAUAUAGUUUUACCAAUAAUAAAAUACAUGAAUAAAAGAAAUUAUUAAAAUUUGUCUCCCAAAUAAAAAAUAGCUUGAUCUAUUAAAAACAUGAAUAAAUGAAAUAGAAAAUUUGUUUACACCAUGUGAACUGUGUGCAAUGAGGUGUAGCUUGGGCCUAUCGUGUUCUUAAGUCUCAUUCUCAUUAUUAUUGGACCCUUAAAAAAAACAUUAUACUGGGUUUCCUAUUAAGAAUUGAGACUCAAGGAAACCUGUCUCUAUUUAGUUCAACUCAACACUCAACUUCCUCCUGAUGAUGUUUUUAUGUCAUUUUGUCCCUCCUCAAAUAAAAGAGACAGUUAUCCUGUAGGGUCGGAUGUAGGAAGUGCAGGUGAUAUCUCACAAGUCACAAGUGUGGAUCAAAGGCUCUAAAAGUAACAAAUGGGAAACAAUGUCGAGAAACUGGGGAGCUAAUUGGCCUUAACGGACAAAAGUCUCAUCCAAAAUUCAUACAAGUAAUGGUAAGAUCAAGACAGCACUAGACGUUGUUCCACCAAAUUGACAGUUUGGCCAGAGCUUCAAAAGCAACCUCAACUUCUAAAACCAGAUUAUAAAAAAAAAACUUGAUUCCUUGAAUGAAAUGUUACAUAAUUCAAAUAUCGGGAGAAAGUUUUUCAAAAUAUCAAAUUGUACAUAAUCAAAGUAUCAUCAAGCCUCUCUUUUAUCUCCUCAUCACACGGUUACGCUCUCUCUUGCGGAACCGUUCCAUCAUGAUCUGGUCAGUUGCAGCUUGUCUGGUAUUCCCUGAAUCCGUAGCAUUAUUGUUAGUAGUAGACGGUUUAGGUCCUUCCCCAUCAGCUCGAGGUCCUUUAUCUUUGUAUAACUCGGGAUGUUCUGCGUGUUUUAAAAGUUGAUCAGUACACGAAUCCACAGGCAUAUCGAACUAACAUAUAGAAAAAAAGAGAAUUCAUAAAGCAAAACCUCUUCUAAGCUUUUCAGCAUAAUCUUUCCCGCGUUGGAAAUAAUCUGCACUGUAACUAGACGGAAUGUUAAACUCUGAUUUUGGCCGACCCGUAAGCCUCUUCUCUUGAAGAAGCUUCUUGGCCGCUUCCGUUUCUUCAAUGUUCUUCAGCUUGUAUCUAACAUUGAAGAACCAAACCAUUAGUCUUUGAAACAUAGAAAAAACACUUAUCAUCAAUCUAUGGAAAAAAGUUAUUCAUCAUACUCUAUUGGUAGUUGCACUUCAGCUAUUCCAGUAGUCCACUGUGUUGAGCUCUCUUCGGAGCUACGCUUCUUAACCUGAGAAAGUUCAAAGUCUUAUAACUCUUGCUACAUUCUUACAUCAAACACAUUAAACCCCUCAAAAGCGAAACUUACUUUAAGAUGAUCAGGGAUCUUAUACAACUCAUCUUCCACUCGCUUCAACUCAUUCUCAACCUCCUCUGCAUCCUCAAGACUCUUCCCCCUUUUCUUAGCAAGUUCUUGUUCAACGUACUUUACCCUAUUGAAUCAAAAACAUAAGCAUAAACGCUAACAAAAACAAACUCACUAGCUUAAAGAUAGGCCCUUACAUGUUGGGAUCUUCAAUCAAAACAGCAGUCUCUUGAGCAAAAGUAUCCUGCAACACAAGCUCCUCUUUCUCUCCUUCCGCUUCAGCUUUCUCAGCUGUUUUCCCUUUCCCCGUGCUAUUCUGCGCCGUGGACAAAGCUGGGAUCCCUAGCUUCCUCUCUCUCAGCUUCUGUAAAAACUUCACCUCUUCCAAUGCCAAUCUGCAAACUCACCAAAUCAACCAAAGACCUAAACUUUCUAACUACCCAUCAAGCCAAUUGAAGAAAACUCAUACGACAGAAACAAAUAAAAGCCCUAAAAACAAGAUUUUGAAUUCGGAACUGACCUUCGUUUCUCUUCUUCUUCUGAGCUCGCUGCUUUACUUUGCUCAUCUUCUUCUUCCUCCUCCUCUAACGGACGUUUCCUGAAAUUUCUCUUCGGCGGCAUCGCAGAGAGUAUCAGCUUCUUCAAAUUUGAUUGCUUUGAGAGCUGAUCGAGACUCUGAGAUUUCUAUUCAACCGACGAAGAAGACGCUACUUCAGGCUUUGUAUUGAUUUCUUUAAGUGGGCCUUAUUAGGCCCAUAUUAGGUUAUGUUGGCCUAAUAUAUACAGUAACAGGCCCAUCUUAGCUUAUAAAGGAUAAAUUUUAUUUUUCAAACCAACAUAAACCAGUCAAUUACAGUAUUAAUUUCUUUUUAGUUACAUCAACAUUCAAAGCUUGAAACAUUUACAUUUAAUUGAAUUAUUUCUUGGUAGAGAGCCUUUCUUUAAUCUUGUCAACCAUCUUAGAUCCCACCUGAAAUGUCUUUGUCAACACAUCUUCCGGCAAAGCAGGAUCGGCCGCAAAAAGUGUUGCCGCAACAGAAACCGUUCCAGGUAACUGACUAUUAAACGCACACAAAACAGAUGCCGGAGAUUUUCCAUUAUUCUUUUGAAAAUGGACAAGUCCUCUUGGGAAAACAAAAACUUCACCAGUCUUAAUGGUUUGUGAGAAAAGCUUGUUUGAUGUUGUGAUAAACCCAACUUCGAGCUCUCCUUCGAGGACAAAAACGACUUCUGUGGCGCGUGGGUGAGUGUGAGGUGGGUUUAGGCCACCCGGUGCGUAGUCUAUACGUGCUAGGGAAACUGAGAGAGUGUUGAGCCCUGGGAUCUUCUCCACGUUGGCUCCCGUCACGGCUGAGCCCAUUGUGGAGUUUAUGACGGCGGGGCUUGAGAUUCCAGCGAAGAAAAAGUCGGACGAUGUGAUGUUUGACAUUUCUUUGCAUGGGAACCCGUUCAACUUGGUUCCUGCAACAUACAUAUUGGGUCGUUUAAAAAAAAAAUAUAUUGGGUCGUUUACUAUGUAACACAAGGCGUUUAAUUUUUUAUCCGAUGUGAUCACUAAACCCCUAGAUUCAAUUAUGAAAAUAUGUCUUUGACUUACAAGCUACAACCUGACUGAUUCUUAUGAAGUCAACUCUAUUUUGAUUUGAGAUUCUCACGUCUUUAUUUAUACAAAAAUUGAAAAUUAAGACUGGAAUUUCACCUAGAUGUUUUGAUUUUUUGAAAAUUUAUGAAAGAUGAACGAGAUAUCAAAAAAUUUAUAGAUCCCAAGAAUAAUUACUAAAAAACAUCAAAAUUUUAUUUAUAUUAAUGGAAAUAGUAAUUUUUUUUGUUAAUCAAGUUAUGAAGAAUUGAAGAUGAACCGGAAUAUCAGAUACAACGACCUAGCCUAACACUUAGUACUUUUGGUGAAAAAAACGAAAAGACAAGAGUACAAGAACUAAUAUUUACCAUGAGAUUUAUCAGCAACGCAGAGAUCUUGAAGGGCAUCGGGAUCGUAUGCAUGAAUCGAAGCAAUAAUGCAAGAUAGCACGAUGGUAAUGAAAUUUUUUGAAUUCAUCAUGGUUCAAAAAGGUGAAGAAUUAUAUGAUUAUUGUUUAAAAUUUCAAGGAAAGAAGCUCGUGAUUCUUUAGAAAAUACUACAACUAGCUAGGUUUUUGUCUUGAUAUUUAUAGAACAUGGACCAUCCGUAUUGAUCGGCAAGUCAUUUGCUUGAGAAAACACACGAAAAUUCAUCUGUCUUUACCAAACUAAGAAAUGUACGUCAAAGCUAAGUAGGUGAAACUAUAGCUUUCUGAUAUAUCUUUCACUACAACCAAAUCUUAAAUUAGACGAUACGAUAUUCGGUAUAAGGAGAAAUUGUAUAUAUAUACGUCAAAUAUUUAUCUUCCAACUAAAAGAAGCAUAAGCACCUAUUAAUUAACGGUUAGUCCAGUUUACUUGGUUCUUUUGUGUAACAUUGUCUUUUUAUACCCCAGUGGACCCACAUUGGACAGACUGAGCUGUGAGCAUCGGAAAUUUUACUUCUCACUUUUUAUGGAUAUUUGAUAUAAUCCUAUUGCUAAUCAAUUAAAAUACAAGUUUAAACACAUGACGAUCUCAAAACAGUAUAUCAGAUAAUAAUAAAACCGUUUUAUACUCUUUUUGAACACUAUAAAACUUUAUACAGCACAAAACAGUAUGUAAAUAACUCAAAUGUACAAGAUGGUUGGUGCAAUGAAUCGCUGUAAUUAAAACAAAUUGGUCAAUUCCAGAUCCAAAUAUAUUAAAUCACAUUGUGCAUAUGUCUUAUUUUCGAUUUUCUGUUUUUUCCUAAUCAAGAACAUUUCAUACAAACUUUUCUGAAGCAACUUACAGAUUAUAGUCUUCCACCCAUCGUAUGGGAAGAAAAAUCAAGGAAACUUGGGAAAAGGAACCAAACCGCAAAGACAUUGAGUAGAAGAAGCUGGUAAUGCUGUUGUAGGAAAGAGAGAUUGGUUAGAUGUGUGUGGGAUUAAUAGAUUACUAAACGGUGGCAACAGCGAAUUCGACGCCGGGAUUAACGGUGACGACGUUGUUUGAUUCACCAGAUUUAUACCCUGAGCUAUAGCGCGCCAUCGCCGUCACAAGGUGGUUGUGCAUUCCAAAGUUUAAUGUCGCUUGAGCAAAAUAAGGAUUCAUCCCCAUUAUAGACAUCACCUGCAAUUACAACAUUAUUUUUACUAGUUAAUUUCUGAAUUUAUAAAAUAAUAAUCAGAGACGACCUUAAAGCCAAGCAAAGCAAGCAUCCGCUUGCAGCUUCAAAUUUUACAGUUAAUAUAACCUUUAAAAACAGCCAAUAUUUUAGAAAAAAAUACAAAACCAGUCAUUUUUUAUUUUGCGGUCUUAAGUGAAUACGUGAAUCUCAGGACCGGUUCUGAUAAUAAUAUAGAUACAUAUAUUGAUGAUUAAAUGAAUGAAAGGGCAUUAUAGUACAGAAGUGAUGCAGUGAUUAGCUUAUAAAGGUUUCAAAUUGAGCUUAGCAGCGAAUAAAAGCGGAUUGAUUGAUAAAUAAAUAUUAGCAGUGUAUAUAUUAUAGUUUUAAUUUUUAAUAUAAAGGGUGUUACAAAAACAAACAAAGAAAUUCAGCAAUUAAUCAUAGAGUAUCCUAUUCCCUAUUUCUCUAUGCUUCUUGUUUUUUACUACCAGAACUUGUGAUCUCUUUCAUUAUUAUCACACAAUUGUUCAUACGAGAGAUGUUCUAAACUUAAAGCUUAUUUCUUAUAGAUAAUACACUUCUUUUAUUUCUUGGUUUACUUUCGAACAUAAAGUUCCUUAUAAGCAAGCACAAUAUAUAUGGCAUGGAUCGUUAAAAGGUCUAAUAGUCUAAUCGACCACAUAAACUUGUGGUGUGACCAUUAUACAUGGUCUUCUUAUAACUCCAGUUCUUUAUAUCCAAGUGGUAAACACCAAAAAGCAGCUUUUUUUUCAUCAAUUAGAAAUCACUUGAUAAAAAUAAGAACUUUCAUCUAUCGGACCGAUUGAGAUCAUAUAGCAAGAACAACUAAACGAGUUAUGAUCGCAAGCUCGCAAGCCUUAACGAUCCUUUUUGACACACAAUUAUCCUAGACGACCACCAACUAUAUAGAGUAUAUACAUAUAUAUAUAUAUAUAUAUAUAUAUAUAUAUAUUUCAUAUAAUCAUACAUGUAUAUAUAUACUGAAUAAAGUAGUUAACAUAUAGACCUGGAGUUGAAGUUGAAGAUCUUUCAUAUACUCAAUGGCUUUAUCGAGAACAGAAACCGUGUCCUCCUGAAAAUCGAAAACAAAACGUACACAUCCCACCGGUUAUUAGAGAAAAAAAAACGCAACCUAAAGCAAGAUUUCUUGAAAUAUUGAACGAUAUACACUUUUUUUUUUGAACGAUAUACACAUGAUAGAUAUUUACAUAUAAUAUAUAAAUAGAGAGAGUAAUAUAUAAAAAUAUACCAACCUUGUGACAAUUAGGUAACAGUUUUUGUAGCUUACGCAUCUUGUUACUCAACAUAUCGUUUCUUCUUCCCUUGAAACCUUUUCUUGUCACUGUAGGAACUUCUCUUGUGAACCCCUCCGAUUCAUCCUAUACAGUUUUUAUAGAAAAAGGAAAAUUAAAAACGGUGAAUUUAAUAUAGUAGUAUACAUAAGGCAACAUGGGAGGUAUACGUCGAAUAUAUAUCGACUUACAUCACUGAAGAUCUCGAUACGAGACCGUUUUGGCUUCACAUGCUUGUUUCUCAAAUAAUUUUGAUUAUCUGAAAAGUCAUAGGUUUGAUGAUCAUGAUGAUCACCAGUUUCAGAAUGUUCAUCAGGGACAGCCAACGUCAAGUCUUUCUCCGAGAUUUCUUCUUCUCUAUGAAUCUCUGGAACAGUUUGAAACUGAAUAUCAGUUUGAUCAUGAUCAACGUAGCCGUAGCUCGAUUUUAAGCCGGUGAUGAGACGUUCUUUAUCACUUCUUGCUCUUUCUGAUAUACCCUGAUCUUUCACAGCAAGUGAUUCAACGUCGUUGUUCCACCCCAGCUCCAUGAAUCCUUGUUUAUUUAACCUGCAGAAAAAAAUAAAGUAUUAGGUUUAAUAUGGCAUCCACUACCGAAGAAAAGAUAUUCCAAAUCGUAAGACAAGAAACCUAAACUCGGAAACCUCUCCCUAAAUAUACGUACAUGUUAGUUAAAGAGAAACUGGAGAUAGAGAGAGAGAGAGAAGUAUUUGAGCGAGAGUAUUUGACUUAAAUGCUCCCAGGCACGAGUUUCGAGGCUAGGUUCAAAAAGUCAACAUCUCAUCCCUCCGCUGCUUAAACAGGCCAGCACCGCCGUGUCCGUACUUGCUCCGCUGCAUUUAUUUCGCCGGUGAAGUUUGGUGAAGCUGGUUUAUUACUCCUUGAAGCACAGGCUUACCCCCUACGGUCUCUGUUUUGGCUUUAAAUGAGCCAUAAGCUGCAGAUCUGGUUGAGAGAAUGCUUCCUGUAACGAAGUAACUUUAACGCUUUGACCCUACAAGGUUGGGUAGUUAAGGUUAUUCAAGCUUCCUGUGAAUCUUUUACUGUGGAAUACAGUUUUUACCUCAUCUCUGAGGAGUUACCCGCUCUAGGUUCUUACUGCGAGAUCUGCAGUUAUAUCUCUUAGACUUUACAGAAGAAAACAAAAAGACAUCGGUGGUAAGAUGUCUCUACGCAACUCAAGGCAUGAAAAGGGCAAAUGGAUAGCUGACCCCACCAAAUCAUCUCGCCGUCCUCCUAUCCAAAUCCCACAGAUAAACACUUCUGCGCUGAUACAGGAGAACAAACUCACCCUGAUUGGUCGAGUUACUAACCCCGCCAUCCAAAAAACUCGCGCACUUGUGGAUUUCUUUCUACAGCACUGGCGAGUGGCGGGUAAAAUCACUGGCAGAGACUUAGGCCCCAACUUAUUUCAGUUCAAGUUCGAGACUGAACAAGAUCUUCUAUCGGUCCUCUCUGAAGCACCUUUCCACUUCAAGCGAUGGAUGCUGAUUCUUCAAAGGUGGGAACCGAUAGUCUCUGACCACUUCCCCGCGCUGAUUCCGUUCUGGAUCACUAUUCACGGAAUUCCCUUGCACUACUGGACAGAUGUAGCCCUGGAGGCCAUUGGGAAUGAACUGGGACCAGUGGAAACGUAUGAUGUUGAACGCGGGAGGAUUAGGGUCCUGAUCAAUGGGUUAAAACCAUUAGAGAUGGCGCUGGAAAUAAGCCUAGCAGGGGAAAUCAAACAAGUGGAGCUUGAGUACGAGAACCUACAAAAACACUGCUUCCUCUGUCACUCUCUCUCUCAUGAAAAGGAGGUAUGCCCAUCUCGUCGGACCCAAUCAAACUUGAGCUCUGCAGCUCCAACAAAAAUGGGAAUCUCUCAAGUCCGAACUAUGGACCGUUUGGAAGCUGAUAAACGGAGACUAGAUGCGAAGAAGCAUAACUACUUGGGCCACCAACCCACAGAACAGGGAAGACCGGGAUUUCCAAGACAAUGGCAAAGUAGCUCCACCCGCUCGUAUGAUUGGAACCAGGACAAAAGCUUCAGAUUUAAUUACGGAGCCCGGCGUGACCCUUACUUCAAACAGAGCUCACUCUCUUCCGAUAGAAGUAACCCAGCUUCACGACUUCCAGUACGAGAUAGACUUUCACUCCGUACGGAAGAAGACUCUGUUACAAACAAGGACUCUCAGUCUCGCCACCAUACUCGAGCUCAAAGAUCAGAAUGGAGACCGAUCACAAGGAGCCCCCAAAGCGGAAUUCCAAUCCCUCUGAACUCUUUGGGCUCUCAUACUCCAUCCCCUCGGCCUCCUCGUGAGGGAGACGUAAAUCACAGACUCGCAUCAUCUGCCUCAAAACAAGCAUCAGGGGAAGGUAGUAGACCAUCACAAGAGAGAAGGUCAGCGCUAGAGCGACUGUCACUACCAAAUGAAAGAGUACCUCUACUCCAGGAUGGGGUCCCAAAUGCGGAAUCUGGCAGACUUCAAGAGGUCCCAAUUCAGCAGUUAGAAGAGGUACUACCUCUACCCCAAUCUGGGGGAAGUAACCUACCUUCUAGCUCAAGAGUUCCAAGUAGGACAAGGGAAGAAUUCGAUCCAUCUCAAGAUCGAUCCCCCAUCCGCACCCUCAGUGAAGAUAGGGUACAUGUCUCACUCAGAUUGGGACCGCUGUUCCCAGACGACGAAGAUGAUCUACAAGAACUCGGUCCUAGGACAGGUAAAGACCUGGUAGCAUCAUCUGCUCCGCAACCACCGCUGGCUAAAAAGCGGGGUCCGAGAAGUCCACCUCAGGGAGUCGCUGUUAAAAAAAGAAGAGUUACAAAGGUACAGAACUCCCCCAAAAGAAGAGGAACUACAGAAACAAAGAAGAGUAAAACGACUCAGCCGAGAUCCUCAGGAGGACAACCGCGAGUUAACAUCAUUCCACCAUCGAGGAAGAAGGGAACGGAUUUUCGGUCCGCUCCACCUCCUCUUCCUUAGUCAAUCUGAGCUGGAACUGUCAGGGUAUUGGGAGCGACCUGACAGUUCGUCGACUCCGAGAGUUUCGCACAAAGGACUCUCCGGAGAUCAUGUUUCUGAUGGAGACAAAACAGAAGGAUGAGGAGAUUUACAAGAUGUAUAAGGGGACAGCCUUCACAAAUCACUACACCGUACCACCCGAGGGACUUAGUGGAGGCUUGGCCCUCUCCUGGAAGGAUACAGUGCAGAUUGAAAUCUUAUUCUCUUCAGCAAAUGUAAUUGAUACAAAAAUUGAGUUCAAUGGAAAAACCUUCUUUGUGUCAUAUAUCUAUGGAGCUCCAAAUAGAGAAGAUAGACCAAAGUUCUGGGAAUCAUUGUCAGAAAUAGGAGCACAGCGGAGUGCACCAUGGCUUCUCACGGGAGACUUUAAUGAUUUGCUUGACAACUCGGAGAAAGUAGGAGGCCCGUUGAGAUGGGAAGGCUCCUUCUUAUCCUUCAGGAACUUUGUGUCCCUCAAUGGCCUAUGGGAUUUACAAUUCUCGGGUAACUCCCUCUCGUGGAGAGGAACGAGAUACACACACUUCAUCCAAUCUAGACUAGAUAGAGCAAUGGCAAAUAUUGAAUGGAUGGAGAUGUUUCCUGCUGCUAGAAGUGAAUACUUGAGGUUUGAAGGGUCGGAUCAUCGUCCGAUGUUAACUCAUUUUGACCAACACCUCAAGAAGAAAAAAGGCUUGUUUCGGUAUGAUAGGAGGCUGAGUGAGAAACCGGAAGUUCGCACCUUAGUGGAAACAACCUGGAACUCCUCUAGCACAGACUCAGUCUUGACAAAGAUCAGCCAGAUACGACGUAACCUGAUCGAAUGGGCGAAGGUACAGACAGCUGCAGCAAAAGAACAUAUACUCUCCCACCAAGUGCUAUUGGAACAGGAACUGUCAACUGCCAACCCCAACACUGCACGUAUCGGGGAGCUGAAUGCGAUCCUAACAAAAGCUUACGCGGAGGAUGAAGAGUUCUGGCGCCAAAGGAGUCGUAUCCAAUGGCUAAAUGGAGGUGAUAGGAAUUCGUCGUUCUUCCAUGCGGUCACCAGAGAACGCAGAGCCUGCAACAAGUUCUCCAUCAUCGAAAAUGAGGCGGGGCAGGGUUUCUUCGAGGAGAAUCAAAUAGUUCAGACGUUUGUACAAUUCUACCAGCAGUUAUUUACCUCCGGGAACACAGAUGCGAGAUCAGUGGUCGAAGAAGCUCUCUCACCGAAGGUUACUGCUGCAAUGAAUGAGAAGCUAAUAAAAAUCCCCGAUAUGGAGGAAAUUCGAGCUGCAGUCUUCUCUAUACACCCGGGAAAGGCACCAGGGCCAGAUGGAUUCUCGGCGGGGUUCUAUCAGACGUUUUGGGAUGUAAUUGGGACUGAUAUCUUCCGAGACGUGAAGAGCUUCUUUGAAACAGGCCGAAUGAACCCCCGUCAAAAUGAGACUCACCUCAGGCUCAUUCCAAAGACCAAGGGAGCAAAGAAGGUGUCGGACUAUAGGCCCAUUGCACUGUGCAAUACACACUAUAAGAUAAUUGCAAAGAUCCUGUCUAGACGGCUCCAACCUCUGCUCCACUCUCUGAUCUCGCCAUCGCAGUCAGCUUUGUUCCUGGGCGAGCGAUAUCAGAUAACGUGUUAAUCACGCAUGAGAUACUCCACUAUCUGAGAAAAUCUGGGGCAAGGAAACGGGUGACCAUGGCGGUAAAGACCGACAUGAGCAAGGCAUAUGACAGGAUUGAGUGGAGCUUCCUUCGUGAGGUACUGAGCAGAUUGGGCUUCCAUGACACGAUAAUCUCGUGGCUAAUGGAAUGUGUCUCAUCGGUGUCAUACUCCUUCCUGAUAAAUGGAGGACCGCAAGGUGCUGUUAAGCCUUCGAGAGGCCUCCGACAAGGUGACCCGCUCUCACCGUACCUGUUCAUCCUUUGUACGGAGGUACUCUCAGGACUAUGUCGACAGGCUCAAGAAAAAGGAACCUUACCGGGAGUAAAAGUGGGGCGGCACUGCCCUCCCAUUAACCAUCUCCUCUUCGCGGACGACACCAUGUUCUUUGGGAAGUCGAAUGCCGCUAGCUGCUCAGCCUUACUCUCUAUCCUCCAGAAGUAUGAGAUGGCUUCUGGACAGUGCAUAAAUCGUGGGAAGUCGGCUAUAACUUUCUCAUCAAAAACCUCUCCAGAAUGCAAAACGAGAGUGAAAGCUGAACUCAAUAUAAACCAAGAAGGGGGAAUUGGAAAAUACCUUGGUUUGCCGGAGCACUUUGGAAGGAAGAAAAGGGACAUCUUCUCAAGCAUCAUUGAUCGCAUUAGACAAAAAGCCCAAGGGUGGACAGCGAGGUACCUCUCGGGAGCAGGGAAGAUGGUGCUGUUGAAGGCGGUUUUGGCAGCAAUGCCUACCUAUGCCAUGUCGUGUUUCAAGCUUCCGAAGUCUUUAUGUAAGCAAAUCCAAUCUGUCCUCACAAGAUUUUGGUGGGAUGUUAAACCGGAGAUUAGAAAAAUGUGUUGGGUCUCUUGGGAUAGGCUUACCCUCCCCAAGAGUGCCGGAGGACUUGGGUUUAGAGAAAUUGAAGAGUUUAAUGAUGCACUGUUGGCAAAACACACUUGGAGACUGCUAAAAGACCCCUCCUCCCUGCUGGGACAAACACUCUUAAAUAAGUACUGCCGCUAUGAAGACCUUCUCUAUGUAUCAGCUCCAGGCUCUGCCUCGCAUGGUUGGAGAGGGAUUCUUGCAGGUAGGGAGAUCAUCAAGAAGGGAAUGGGUUGGGUAGUAGGUAGUGGAGAAACUAUCAAGAUUUGGAGUGAUGACUGGUUAUCUACGGAAAAGCAAGAACGUCCUGUUGGACCCCCAAAUCUCGACGCUCAGAACCUGACAGUCAAAGAACUUUUCCAGAUAAACUCAGCGGAGUGGGACUCAGAGAAAAUAAAACUCCAUUUACCUCAGUAUGAGGGCGAUAUCUUAAAACUAGUGCCUAGCUCCCUGGCGAUGGAUGAUGAGAGGGUCUGGCUCCCUGAAAAGUCAGGAGAGUACUCAACUCGUUCAGGCUAUGCACUGGCAAAGAUGAACAAGGGUGAUACCAUUGAGACUUUCAACUGGAAAAAGUGCGUGUGGAAUGUUAAAUGCUCGCCCAAACUGCAGCAUUUCUUAUGGAAAGUAAAGUCAAAUGCACUGGCUGUGGGAGAGACACUAAUCAAGCGUGGUAUCCAAACUGAAGGGAAAUGCAAGCGGUGUGGAGCUAGUGAAUCUAUUCUCCACGUUAUGCUUUCCUGCCCUUAUGCACAAAGGGUUUGGAGACUAGCCCCAAUCCUAACACCUCUCACGACAGGGAGUGAUGAGUCGAUGGCGGAAGUUCUUCAAACAUGCACUAGGAUGAUCAAUCUACCUCCCACUGGUCUGGUAACUCCCUUAUACCCAUGGAUUUUUUGGGUCUUGUGGACUAGUAGGAAUCAGUUAUUGUUCGAGGAUAAGUCUUUCUCGGAAACAGAGACGAUGCUCAAGGCUAUUAAGGCGGCAGUGGAAUGGCAGGAGGCAACCAAUCUCCUAAACACGACAAUGCCACCUACCAAGAAACCAAACUCUGUUUCAACUAAAGACUCUCCCCCUGUGAACUUAACUCCACAAAUACCAGCAAAUACCUCAGCUCUGUAUUCAGAUGCGGCUUGGAACAGCACAUCUCUGGCAGGAGGCAUGGGAUGGGUAAGCACAACAGCUGACGGCUCGAUCCUGUUCAAAGGAACUGUGACUCGUCGAAAUGUGGCCUCAGCUCUCGUAGCAGAGGCGAUGGCUCUUAAAACAGCACUCUUGGAAGCUGUCUCUCAUGGUCUAACUGACAUAAUCUGUUUCUCAGAUUCUAAGUGUCUAAUUGACCUCAUCACAGGAAAGAAAACUGUGGUGGCUCUGCAAGGAUUACUCCAUGACCUCGGCGUGUUGAGUGACUCUUGUAACUCUAUCUCUUUUUAUUUUAUCCCUCGGGGCUGCAAUGAAGCUGCAGACACUCUAGCUAAAAAUGCUCUGUUUUGUAUGUCAAACAACCCUUCUAGGGAAGCUCUUUCUGUUGUAAACUCUGUUCUUUAAGUUGAAGUAAGAAGGUUUGACCAAAAAAAAAAAAAAAAGAGAAACUGGAGAUAAAACUUAGAGAAAGUUCGUGUCUGAGGACUUCAGAGUUGUCCAAGAAAAUGAAAUAUCGUUGAUUUAUAAUAUAGGAAUGGCCGGAGCUGGAUGACAGUUGUCAGCCAGUUUAGCGACCCACUUGAGUUAAGCCACGUUCGGUAUCAUGAAUGGUUCUUUUAUUUUGAAGAAAAAUGAUUUUCAUUUAAGUACCACCGACAAUUUAUAUAUAAUGCAAUCCGACUAGACUAUUAUACAAUACCUCCUGGGGUUGAAGACAUAUAUAUAUGUCAUUUAGUUAAAUAAGUUCUUUAGUUAAGGUUGAAUAUAAUACUUUGGAUUUCACAAAAAUCGUUUUAAGAAAUGUGUUGUUUUGAUUCACUUCCAGACAUCCAUUGCAAUUUUGAUAUAUAACAUUUUAAUUUGUCUAAAAUUAGAUUUUGAAAAUGCAAAAUAAAAUAUAGCUUAAAGUAAUUAAAACGACAAUUACAUGAAAGUGAAAAUAUAUUUUAUAUAUUAGGGUUCUGUUUAUAGUUACAUUACACAUGCAUGCAUACAGUUUUUUUUUUGAAAAGAUUUUUCAUCAUUCUCAGGUCGUAAGCAUGCAUCCAUACAAUGCUUUCAUAGAUAUAUUACUUUUAAGUGAUCUUCAUCCCCUAUAUAUUAUUUGAGAAACAUUACAACAUUGUUUUGUAGCCAUGUGUCAUCACUACAAUGAUUCUUAGAAUGCUUAGAGAAAUAGGUUGGUCCAUCUAAAUAUAUAAUAAACUUUUUAUUAAACUAACCAUAAAUACAUUAUUAAUGUGCUUCAUUAUUUCCUUCAAUAAAAUUACGAAAUUUCCUAAUGUGGGUAAAGUAUAUAUAUGACAAUUAAUGAUUUUGAAUAAUAAAAAUUUAAUAAAAAUAAGGGUGUAUUAUAUUAUAAUUUUUUAAUUUUAAACUAUGAAAAUAAAUUAAAAAAAUCAUAGUAACCAUAUAAUAAAAAUUAAAAUUUUUCUUUCUAUGUUAUAUUUUGAAUUUUUAAAAACGAUUAUAAAUUACUAAAAUUGUUAAAAAUUUCACAUUCAAAUUUUGUGAUCCAUGGUUUAAAAUUUUUGUUAUGACUUGAUACAAAUAAUUAAAAAAUCAUAUAAGUUAAAGUCUCAUUUAAUAAGUAUUAAAAGUAAUAUAUAUAUAUAUAUCAUUUUAAAUUAAAUUAUAUGACCAUAUAAAAAAUAUAUAAAUAUCUUAAUUUUGAAAUGUACUGUGAACAAUUUUUUUUUUGAUAAAAAAUUUGAAAAAUAUAGACAACUUAAUUUUAAAAAAUAUUAUAAAUCACUUAAACUAUUAAUCUCACAGUGAAAAUUUGUUAUCCGUAAUUUAAUUUUUUUGCUAUAACACAUACAAUUGAUAUAAAAUAUAUGAGCAAAAUUUAACAUUUAAUAAAUAUUAAUAUUAAAAUAUAUUGUAUAUAAGUUACUAUCAUUUAAAUUUAAUUAUAUACCAUAUCAAAUAGAAAAAAUAUUUUUUGGAUUAAUCAAAUUUAUUUAUAUGUUCUCACCAAUUUAAUUAUAUAAGUAAUAGUUACCGUCAUUUUAAUUAUUUAAUAUAUAUUUAUUAUUUUAUAAGAUGUUAUAAACAUAUAAUAUAUAAAAAAAAUUAUGUAUAUAAUGUUCAUUCCGCGCAAGGCGCGGGUCUUAACCUAGUUAUUUACUAUUAGGAUACAAAAUAUUCAGUCGUGAGUCGACAUACGUCCAUUAUUUUGACACACAUGCAUAUAUAAAAUAUGUUAAUGUAUAUAUAAUAUCUCUUUGUACGUACAGAUAACAUUUUGAUUUUUAAGAGUUGGUGAGAUUUUAAUUUAUUAUUUCGUAAUGAACAAUGAGCCACGUAAGUCUGUUUUAUCCUUUUAAUUAGUAUUUUCAGUAAUCAUUAUCCUUCAUCUUUAAAUAGUCGUCGUUAUACUUUAUCUGUGUAAUAUCAGAUGUCCAAUCGGCUAUAAGAUUAGCAAAAAAGUCUACCGUCUCUGUUUAUCUGAGAUAGUCGACCAAUGACCACCACAACUUUUCAUUUAGUCGAUAAAUGUUUUAUCAUAAACAAAUGCUUAAUAAUAAGCGACGAAAUGAAAUACAUAUGAAUCAACACAAUAAUUAGGCUAGGUUCUCUCCAGAGCAUGCCACCUCAGCAUUUAAAAUGACUGUGUGAUUGACAUGUCAUCAAAUGAAAAAAGUUGAAAAACCAAUCAAUUCAUUUUGAUAAUACACGUCAUUUUUUUGAGCCGUGAAGUCUUCAGUUCCAUCUCUUCCUCCUCUUCAGAUCUCAUCUCUUCCUCCUCCUCCUCCUCUUGAGCUCGUCGGCUCGGCAGACUGUUCGAACCGCAUCACAAGGAUCUAGCUCAAGCAACAGAGGAUCUGCGGCACUCUUUGAGCUCGUCGGCGUAGAGUUCUUCUUCACUCUCCGGGUUCGUCGGCGUCGAUUUCUUCUCCAGACGCAUCACAAGGAUCUAGCUCAAACAGCAGGGGAUCCGCGGCACUUUUUGAGAUCGUCGGCGUCGAGUUCUUCUUCAGACUCUCCGGACUCGUCGGCGUCGAGUUCUUCUCCAGCCGCAUCCGGGCUCGUCGGCGUCGAGUUCUUCUCUAGCUGCAUCACGAUUUGGACUCCUAGGGUUCUAGCAGUUCUAAUAUAUGAGUUCAGUUCGAAUCUAAUUCCGUUUAAAGAAUGUUUUGACAGUCCUGAUAACCGGUGAUAUUAGUAUGGUAGGCCAAAGAUUUGUUAAGGCCAAAGAAACUUUGCUAUUAGAACAUAUCAAACAACGAUUGCUAUUAGAACAUAUCAAAGAACGAAUUGGUUAAGGCCAAAGAAAUCGUAAAAUACAGUUUAAGGUAUCUUCUUUAACUCUUUGUUCUUCUUUUGCAGAUGGUAAGCUUUCGAUGAGUUGUGGAAUUACCUGAUGGUGUGACCAAAGAGCACAGACUUGGUGCUAAGCGAGUGUGAUUAGGAAGUGUAGUGAAGAUAGAUGUUCUGAUGUGACAAAUAGACAGAACUAACAGUUUUGCGGGUGUUGUGUUGUGUGAUGUUCCUGAGACCUUAAUAUGUCUUGCUUCUGUUGGGUUAGCAAGUAUCUUACAGUGGGAUGGAUAAUUUGAGGAAUCCUGUUGUGAUUCCUUUAGCUCAUAUUGACCGGAUUAGAUAGUGGACAGAAGACCUUACACGAAUCUUCUCUAGCAGUUUAUCAUUGCAAUUCCAGUGGAAACCUGAUUUCACUAAGUUAUAAGUUUAUAUUUUCGUCUUUCAUGUGAAAAUUGUGUUGUUCACUGAAUGAUUAUGCUAAAGAGGGGGUUUUAUUUUGUUUAUUGCAGGCUGAGAUAGUGGAAUAUCUGUUGUUGGGACUCAUGAUCUAUUUGACCAUCGACAUAUGUAGUCCCAAAAGAAUGUAAAGAAGUUAUUCCUCUUGAUGCUUGGGUCCUGCUGAUAAAGUCCUUCACUCUGCAGAGCUUCUUAACGCCUACAAGACAGGGUGAGACUCUGAUUCUUUUUUUUCAUUACGCCUAUGCUGAGAAAACUGAAAUAUUAUCUGAUUCAUGACUAAAGAUGAAUCACAUGGUUUUGUAGAUACAAACGGUCAGAACACACCAACACACAUCCAAAAUGUUUAGUUGAAGCCAGAAAUUGUAAAUUCCUAAUCAGCUCGUAUCUAUGGUUCUCCAUAAUAUCUCUACAUUUAAGAAUGUAACAUUUUACUCUUUCUUUCAUCUAAUCUCAUUCUAUGUUUCGUUUUUGUAAUCCUAUGUCUUUUUACUGGUCAAUUUGCGUAUUAUUUCGUCUUUAUACAUAUGAAAUACGUUGAAGUAGUUAUGAAUGACCAAAAUAGUGCUGUCAACGAC